AUAGUCUGAAAAUUAUCAUAGACCUUUUUUAAUGGUCUUUGAUAAGAUAACUGUGCCUAAAGUAAAAGUGCUACAUAAACUUGUUACUAAUGUAUAUUUGUGGGUAAUAAAACCCAUGGGCCUACAUCU
Molecule: small nucleolar RNA, 129 nt
Organism: Protopterus annectens (West African lungfish)
Lineage: Eukaryota; Metazoa; Chordata; Ceratodontiformes; Protopteridae
Product: small nucleolar RNA ACA64
Exons: 1
Source: RefSeq, a predicted model, not a curated record